This is a long non-coding RNA of Nicotiana attenuata, 536 nucleotides long. RefSeq lists it as uncharacterized. The transcript is spliced from 2 exons. The record is from RefSeq and is a predicted model, not a curated record. NCBI's taxonomy places the organism in Eukaryota, Viridiplantae, Streptophyta, Magnoliopsida, Solanales, Solanaceae.
CAAAUUCGUGAUUGAUAAUCGACCCGGGAACGCGGGUUAAAAAAAGGCGCAGCAUUUGGAGCAUAGAACAGGGGCUGAGCUUUCGGAUUCUGAUACUGGCCAUGAAUUCCAGGACCGACCACCUGAGGGCUUCGAUUGCCUCCAGUUCCAGGAAAUCCAUGGUAGAAAUGCUCUAAGGGAUCAGUGGAGUGUGAAGAAUAAUGAGUUCGAAUCCAGAUGGAUUACAGAUUGGCUAAAAUGGGACACUGGACAACAAGGUGGUGGAAAUUGGAAUUCUCUCUCACUUCUACACCUUAUAAUUCUAAGCAUAUAUAAACAAUGAUUGCCUCAAGUUCUACUUAAUCCAUUCAAAAUCUUGCAAAGGAUCAGUAGAAUGUGAAAAAACUUGGGUUUGCAUCACAGGUUAAUCAAGUACCAAUCAAUAUUUAUAUAGAUAUUUACUAGCUGCAGUGACCUCAUAAAUGACCCGAUUGUAUACUUAAACCCGAUUUAGAAUUAAUUUUCUACCAUUUUUUUCCCGAUAAGUCAACUUUCUA